UACGUAGGGGACCAGCGUUGUCCGGAUUUACUGGGCGUAAAGAGCGCGCAGGCGGUCGUUCAAGUCGAGUGUGAAAGCCCCCGGCUCAACUGGGGAGGGUCACUCGAUACUGGUCGACUUGAAGGCAGGAGAGGGAAGCGGAAUUCCCGGUGUAGUGGUGAAAUGCGUAGAUAUCGGGAGGAACACCAGUGGCGAAGGCGGCCUUCUGGACAGUGACUGACGCUGAGACGCGAAAGCGUGGGGAGCAAACAGG
RNAcentral lists this ribosomal RNA (253 nucleotides) under uncultured bacterium. RNAcentral's name for it is "partial 16S ribosomal RNA". It matches the Rfam family "Bacterial small subunit ribosomal RNA", at positions 524 to 776 of the family's 1533-position model. The record is from RNAcentral.